AGUGAACGCUGGCGGUAGGCCUAACACAUGCAAGUCGAACGGCAGCACAGUAAGAGCUUGCUCUUACGGGUGGCGAGUGGCGGACGGGUGAGGAAUACAUCGUAAUCUACUUUUUCGUGGGGGAUAACGUAGGGAAACUUACGCUAAUACCGCAUACGACCUACGGGUGAAAGCAGGGGAUCUUCGGACCUUGCGCGAUUGAAUGAGCCGAUGUCGGAUUAGCUAGUUGGCGGGGUAAAGGCCCACCAAGUCGACGAUCCGUAGCUGGUCUGAGAGGAUGAUCAGCCACACUGGAACUGAGACACGGUCCAGACUCCUACGGGAGGCAGCAGUGGGGAAUAUUGGACAAUGGGCGCAAGCCUGGUCCAGCCAUACCGCGUGGGUGAAGAAGGCCUUCGGGUUGUAAAGACCUUUUGUUGGGAAAGAAAAGCAGCAGGUUAAUACCCCGCUGUUCUGACGGUACCCAAAGAAUAAGCACCGGCUAACUUCGUG
Molecule: ribosomal RNA, 492 nt
Filed under: uncultured bacterium
Lineage: Bacteria
Description: partial 16S ribosomal RNA
Rfam family: Bacterial small subunit ribosomal RNA
Source: RNAcentral